CUACGGGUUGCUGCAGUGAGGAAUAUUGCGCAAUGGGGGGAACCCUGAUGCAGCAACGCCGCGUGGAGGAUGACGCAUUUCGGUGUGUAAACUCCUUUUAUAUGUCAAGAAAAUGACGGUAGCAUAUGAAUAAGCACCGGCUAACUCCGUGCCAGCAGCCGCGGUAAUACGGAGGGUGCAAGCGUUACUCGGAAUCACUGGGCGUAAAGGACGCGUAGGCGGGUUGGAAAGUCAGGUGUGAAAUCCUACAGCUUAACUGUAGAACUGCACUUGAAACUUCUAAUCUAGAGUAUGGGAGGGGGAGAUGGAAUUAGUGGUGUAGGGGUAAAAUCCGUAGAUAUCACUAGGAAUACCUAAAGCGAAGGCGAUCUCCUGGAACAUUACUGACGCUAAGGCGUGAAAGCGUGGGGAGCAAGCAGGAUUAGAUACCCGCGUAGUC
This 439-nucleotide ribosomal RNA is filed under the name uncultured bacterium. RNAcentral's name for it is "partial 16S ribosomal RNA". It matches the Rfam family "Bacterial small subunit ribosomal RNA", at positions 339 to 795 of the family's 1533-position model. The record is from RNAcentral.